GUCCGGCUGUUCGCCGGUUAAAGCGGUACGCGAGCUGGGUUCAGAGCGUCGUGAGACAGCUCGGACUUUAUCCGCGGUGUGCGUUUACAGUUGAGAGGAGCUCUUGAUAGUACGAGAGGACCUCAAGGGACAAACCUCUGGUGUACCAGUUGUUCUACCAAGGGCAUUGCUGGGUAGCUAUGUUUGGUCGGGAUAAGAGCUGAAAGCAUCUAAGCACGAAGCCCACCUCAAGAUGAACUGUAUGCCU
Molecule: ribosomal RNA, 247 nt
Filed under: candidate division WWE3 bacterium CG10_big_fil_rev_8_21_14_0_10_39_14
Lineage: Bacteria; candidate division WWE3
Description: partial 23S ribosomal RNA
Rfam family: Bacterial large subunit ribosomal RNA
Source: RNAcentral